CAAUAGCGUAUAUUUAAGUUGUUACAGUUAAAAAGCUCGUAGUUGGAUUUCGGGUGGGACGCAGCGGUCUCGCAUUGCGUUUGUACUGCUGCAGCCCUCCUUCUUGCCGGGGGCGGCCUCUCGGACUUCACUGUCUGGGGGUCAGAAUCGGCGAUGUUACUUUGAGUAAAUUAGAGUGUUCAAAGCAAGCUUACGCUCUGAAUAUAAUAGCAUGGGAUAACACGACAGGACUCUGGCCUAUCGUGUUGGUCUAUAGGACCAGAGUAAUGAUUAAGAGGGACAGUCGGGGGCAUUCGUAUUCCGUUGUCAGAGGUGAAAUUCUUGGAUUUACGGAAGACGAACAUCUGCGAAAGCAUUUGCCAAGGAUGUUUUCAUUGA
RNAcentral lists this ribosomal RNA (378 nucleotides) under uncultured eukaryote. RNAcentral describes it as "partial 18S ribosomal RNA". It matches the Rfam family "Eukaryotic small subunit ribosomal RNA", at positions 592 to 976 of the family's 1831-position model. The record is from RNAcentral.